Molecule: ribosomal RNA, 244 nt
Filed under: uncultured bacterium
Lineage: Bacteria
Description: partial 16S ribosomal RNA
Rfam family: Bacterial small subunit ribosomal RNA
Source: RNAcentral
CGAGUGGCGGACGGGUGAGUAAUGUCUGGGAAACUGCCUGGUGGAGGGGGAUAACUACUGGAAACGGUAGCUAAUACCGCAUAACGUCGCAAAGACCGAAAGAGGGGGGACCCUUUCGGGCCUCUUGCCAUCGGAUGUGCCCAGAUGGGAUUAGCUAGUAGGUGGGGUAACGGCUCACCUAGGCGACGAUCCCUAGCUGGUCUGAGAGGAUGACCAGCCACACUGGAACUGAGACACGGUCCAG